CAGUAGCCGCGGUAAUACGGAGGGGGCUAGCGUUGCUCGGGAUUACUGGGCGUAAAGGGCGCGUAGGCGGAUGUUUAAGUCAGAGGUGAAAGCCCAGGGCUCAACCUUGGAACUGCCUUUGAUACUGGACAUCUUGAGUAUGGGAGAGGUGAGUGGAACUCCGAGUGUAGAGGUGAAAUUCGUAGAUAUUCGGAAGAACACCAGUGGCGAAGGCGACUCACUGGCCCAUUACUGACGCUGAGGCGCGAAAGCGUGGGGAGCAAACAGGAUUAGAUACCCCCGUAGUCCCUGUCUCUUAUAC
RNAcentral lists this ribosomal RNA (301 nucleotides) under uncultured bacterium. RNAcentral's name for it is "partial 16S ribosomal RNA". It matches the Rfam family "Bacterial small subunit ribosomal RNA", at positions 509 to 807 of the family's 1533-position model. The record is from RNAcentral.